GCUUACGGCCACACUGCCUAGUUCACGCCCGAUCUCGUUUGAUCUCGGAAGCUAAGAUAGGGUGGGCCUGGUUAUACUUGGAUGGGAGACCCCUGGGAAUACCAGGUGCUGUAAGCU
This 117-nucleotide ribosomal RNA is filed under the name Scophthalmus maximus (turbot). The record is from RNAcentral. Lineage: Eukaryota; Metazoa; Chordata; Actinopteri; Pleuronectiformes; Scophthalmidae.